AAGUCGUAACAAGGUUUCCGUAGGUGAACCUGCGGAAGGAUCAUUAAUGAAUAUCUCAUCAAUUCAUUGAUAACACCCCCCUCUGUGAACACGUUACCCUGUUGCUUCCCGUGGGCCCGCCUCCCCUGGGGGGCGGAACCCGCCCGCGGGGAGGUCCGCAACUGAAACCCUUUUGUUUUUGUCAUGCCGUCUCUAGUCUGAAUCGAAAAACCAGAAACGUUAAAACUUUCAACAACGGAUCUCUUGGUUCUCGCAUCGAUGAAGAACGCAGCGAAAUGCGAUAAGUAGUGUGAAUUGCAGAAUUCAGUGAAUCAUCGAAUCUUUGAACGCACAUUGCGCCUCCUGGUAUUCCGGGAGGCAUGCCUGUUCGAGCGUCAUUAAAACCCACUCAGGUCCCCUUUGGGGGUUCUGGUCGUGGAGGAGCAGCCGCGAGGCGAGCCCCUCCGAAAUCCAUCGUGCGGAAAGNCCCCGGUGGCCCAGGCGUAGUNAAACUUCUUUCUCUCGUCUGGCGUCCGUCGAGCGUUCCUGCCGUCAACCCCCCCACAGCCUUCUUGUGAUAUUGACCUCGAAUCAGGUAGGGAUACCCGCUGAACUUAAGCAUAUCAAUAAGCGGAGGAAAAGAAACCAACAGGGAUUGCCUUAGUAACUGCGAGUGAAGCGGCAAGAGCUCAAAUUUGAAAUCUGGCGUCUUUGGCGUCCGAGUUGUAAUUUGGAGAGGCAUCUUCGGGGGCGGCNCCGGCCUAAGUUCCUUGGAACAGGACGUCAUAGAGGGUGAGAAUCCCGUUCUCGGCUGGCUGUCCGUCCUCAUGUGAAGUGUCUUCGACGAGUCGAGUUGUUUGGGAAUGCAGCUCAAAAUGGGUGGUAAACUCCAUCUAAAGCUAAAUACUGGCGAGAGACCGAUAGCGCACAAGUAGAGUGAUCGAAAGAUGAAAAGCACUUUGAAAAGAGAGUCAAAAGGUACGUGAAAUUGUUGAAAGGGAAGCGCUUGAGACCAGACUCGGCGUGAGGUAUUCAUCGUCCCUUCUGGGGCGUGCACUUGCCUCUCGUCGGGCCAGCAUCGGUUGCGGCGGCGGGAUAAAGACCUGGGGAACGUGGCUGCUCUCGGGCAGUGUUAUAGCCCCGGGUGUCAUGCCGCCUGCUGCGACCGAGGACCGCGCUUCGGCUAGGAUGCUGGCACAAUGGUCUUCAGCGACC
Molecule: ribosomal RNA, 1194 nt
Filed under: uncultured fungus
Lineage: Eukaryota; Fungi
Description: eukaryotic LSU rRNA
Rfam family: Eukaryotic large subunit ribosomal RNA (bases 561-1194)
Source: RNAcentral